Molecule: long non-coding RNA, 5387 nt
Organism: Solea solea (common sole)
Lineage: Eukaryota; Metazoa; Chordata; Actinopteri; Pleuronectiformes; Soleidae
Exons: 10
Source: RefSeq, a predicted model, not a curated record
UAACUCGCUGUACUCAACUGUUCAGUUCAGUUCAUGUAAAAGUCAGGACUGCGUGACAGUGAGCCAGCAUGCUAAAUGCAAACCCGUCAUAGAUUAAUUUGACUAUUCACACCUGUGAUAUUCUUAUUGUCACCUGUCAAAAUGGCUGCUGUGCUAACGUUCCAUUUGCCUAAGGUGAACACCACCUCGCUCACCUGGUGGGUGAAGGUCCUUAUCUUUUCAAGGUGGAGGUAACAAGGCAGUCGGUGAAAUAGCGUUAGAUAACACAGAAAUGUUAGCGUGUUGUCAUUGUUCUCCUCCUAUACUACUCUAUAUGCGACACUGAGUAUUUUUGUGCGUGUUUUUGUUUCACGUAGCAUCAAGGCCCUGCUUAAGCUAGCUCGAUAGCUUGCUAUCCCUCAGAUGGAGCCCGACGUUCAUCUCUUAACAAAACUAAUUCUGAGAAGCCAUGGGGUCAGGGCGAGUUGAAUCUCAUGUCAGAAUUGUCCCCAUCUUGACCUGCGCCUGACUGGCCUCCCAGCAAAAAGCCCCUGUGAAGCAGAAGGAAGAGAUUGCUAUGCUGAUCUGAAGGUGAAAAACACCCUCCUCCUCCUCUCCCACACAUGAACAUCUGUCUCCGUGGCGUUGGCUGCACCACAGACUCUGACACCUCCAGAUGGAGAGCCCGCUGGGAGUGCUGAGCUCAUCCCCUCACGGUGACACAUUCUGUCCGUCCAGUGUGUUGGAGCAGUUUGCAGAGGUCCUCCUCACGUUUCCCCGCAAACUCUUGAAACUCCUCCUUGACUUCAGACAGUGGCAGUGAAACGGAGACAUGAUAAACGACGUGUUGAACAAAGGCCACAUUGAAAGGCCUGUCCUGCAACUUUCACAGAUGCCAUAUCCUCCCAACAAUAUGCAGCUACAAAAAAGGGGGGGAGAAAAAAGCAGUUAAGAUAUCAGCUGUGUGCAUGAAAACCAACUACUACAAGUCCUUUCUCAAAAAUGUAACUCUAAGCACACUUUAUCCCUGCAGAAUAACAAACACAGCAAACUUUCAUCCCAAAGCAACAACAUAUAGACAAAAGAAUUACAUUUUCUGGCCAUUUAAAUGAAUAUUUUCUUCCUUUUGAGAUGAAGUGUCAUCACCUACAUACUCCCCAAGAUUUGAAUUUGCGGCUGCUGCUACAUUUACACAAAUUCGGAUCUACAGGGUAUAUAUAGAUGACAGCCUCUGCAGUGGACAGUGGAGUAUACAUUAUAAACAACACAAGAAAUAAACAAAAACAAUAUAUUCACAAGGUUUUUGUGAACCAUGACAUUGGACCUUUCUAAUUAAAAACAACACAUGAUACCAUUUGUUUCAAGUAUGCUCUUAUAAAGUGUUUUUGUUAAUAAUUAUUAAUAGUUAUAUAUGUAAUCCGACAUUAAAAAUUGGUUAUUAAUUGGCCUUAAUAAUGUUGUCAGUAGGUGUAAAUGGUGCAAAAUCAAUAAUUCAUAGACGUAACCCCUCAUUAUCAGUCAGAGAGACUUUACACUUAUACCUGGCAGCCCAAAAGUUUCUUAAUGGCUUACAAGGGAUCUAUAAAGUAAUGAUUUAUUUAUCAUUAAUAAAACCAUUAGUUGAGAGCAGCAGCAAAAAACACUUCCAUCCAGUAUGCCUGCAUAGGGUUGCGAAUAUAUUUUACGUCCACAUGACCUCAUAUUAUGGCUCCGUUAUGGGUUUGUUUUCUGUUUUAGGUAAUGUAUGAAAUCAUAAACAUGUUAAUUGCACUUUACACUCUCUGUUUAGUGCAUAUAAUGAGCACUUAUCGGAGUGAUUCAACUGUCACAAGAUGGAGUACAGUCAAUAUGCCAAGUAUGAGGUUUGUUCUUGCGCACGGCAGUGUUUUACUGAUUUAGAAUUCUAAAAGUCGCUUUUAUAACCUGAGUUUCACCUCAGCUCAACUGCAGAAAUACUCACCUCACGACACUUAAGUGUAAAAAUACUCCGUACAAGUUCACAGUGAUUGAUACUUUAUUUUAUUUAAGGCAUCAAUAGAUAUUUAAUGGUGUCCUACCCUUUUUUUUUUUUUUUUUUAGUUUAGCAGCAUUUUAAUAUGAAUUGCUGGAGCCGAAAUGGUGGCCAGAUAAAUCUGAGGGGCAGAGGGGUGAUCAUUUAAGUUCCUUUCUUUCUUUUCCCUUUUAAAUUAUUUUUAUUCAUUCAUGUGAAAUACUGGUUAAUUUCACCCCACAUUUGGAGAAAUGUGUCAUUGAAACUGAUAACUAUAGUGGAGAGUGUUUUAAAUUUUUAGAUAAAAGUCUAAAUCAGACAAGUGGCUGCAAGAUGGGUGAAGGUGAAGGUUUCUUUCCCCCUCAUAAAUCCUACUCCACUUUUACUUAAAGGGGAAUGCUCAAGUAAAAACAGCUUAAAAAUGCUUUUAAGUACAAAAAAUCUGACAGUGAGAGUCUGACUUGUUCAAGAAUUAAACCAAACUGGGUUUUUUUUAAAUGAAAAGGCCACAGCCGACACACUGAUCUCUAAGUAUCAGCAAUUACUUUAACCUGUGCACAAACGUGAGCAGAGAUAAUGCAGCCAUAAACAUGAUACACACAUGUUCACAGUGACACCUUGUUUCUCUGUGUGUCUCUCUGCUCUACAGCUUUUAGACUUCAUGUCCUCUGAUGAGAGCUGGAGAGAGAAGAAAGGAAAAAAAAACCAUCCAUCAUCAGGCUGACCGGUCUGAGGCGCCCUCUGCUGGCAGAGGCGCUGCGCUGCAGAACACUGCAAUGGCGUGAAGUCACAACAACAACACCACCACAGGCUUCCAGAUGUUGAGCGAUAACGUGAAACCUUCAAAAGCGUUCAAGACUUGAGUGUGGAUGGUGACGGUGCAAAGUCUGACAGCAGCAGUGCGUUUCCUCCUGACGCAUCUGCGGCUGCAAAAGUCUACAUCGUCUCCUGACCCAGCGAUGAUCCCCGCCGCCAUGAAUUAUGCAUGAGAUCCGGGUGGGGAUUUCAUCACAAGCUUAACUUCUGACAUGCCAAACACGCAAUUUUGCUGCAAAGAGGUGAGAGGAGGUGCGAGCUGCUCGUCCUGCAUGGCUCCUGAUUCAGCACCAAGGAGAAGACAUGCGAGAGGCACACACACACACUCACACUCUCCAUCAUCAUCAUCAUCAUCAUCGUUACCAUCCUCACCUGCAGUGUGAUCAAGUAGACACUAGUUUCAGAAAAACAUGUGUCAAACACUGCGGUUUUGUCGCAGACGCUUAAAAGGCGCUGCAGCUUCUACGGGGUUAAACGGAGGCAGAGCAGCUGCUUGGAACAGCUCCCACAACACAUGAGAGGAAGAAGGAAAAAAACAAAAAGGAUGGUUUGGACUGGAUCAUUAACAUUUUUUUAGACUAAUCAUCUCAUUCCCUCUUGUGUAAACAUCAGGCCUACAGUGACAGUUCAGGCACAACAGAGCUGCAGCGGCGCACUUGUGCGCUCAGUUAAUCGCUGGUCGACUGGAAACAUGGUGCCCUUACCUUUGUUGAUAAUCCAUCAUGUUCCAGUGUGGCUGCCACUCCGCGCAAACUCCUUCUCAGCCGCUUUCUCCCACACAUUUCCCCACUUUGCUCAAGUGAUUUCAUGAAAGUAAUCCCAAUGCUGCAUCAUCCAGGAGCAGGAGGGAGCUCAUGCGCCCCCUUCUCCAAUUUUCACCGACAUAUACCAACACAAGUGCGGGCACACAUGGACAUGGCGGACAAACACGGUGAGGCGUCGCGCAAUAAUCAGGCUCCAUCGCCCACUUUUUCUUUUUUGGAGAAUCACGUGUAUACAUACGCACAGUGGAUCCGCAUCCACAACCACAACACCGACACACGCGUGUUGCAUUUACAAAGAGCCCAAGGAAGGGGAAAAAAGGGUUGUGUUACGAGUGUUAAGUGAAUGAGCAGUGGAAAACAGCAGCUGCAAUAUAACCUCAUGGGAAAUAAGUUCCCAUUCCUGCUGUCCACAUGACCGCCAGCGACCAAUCCUGGAGCCAGGCGAGUCGUAAACUUCCAUGGCAAAGUUGUAAAUUUUCAUAAACAGCAGCCGUUUUUGUGCUUAAGACAUUCUUUCUCAUCGCCAUCUUUUAUUUGUCCUCCAGCGUUUGAGAUGUUUAUGUGCGACGCUGCGUGUGAGAGGAUUUUUUUGAUUAUUGUGCUGCUGGAUGAUGACGAUGGUGAUGAUGACGCGCACUUGGUCGUGAUCCAUGCAAACUCUGGUUUUAGGUGAUUUUUAAAGUGUCCUUUACCGUGCUGCGAGCCUCUGCGGGAAGAGUUUCUGACGCUGUGAGAGAAACCAGGCCUCCUGGCCAGUGGGAUUGGAGUGGAGACGACGAGCAGGCUCUGCAGGGCAGAGGGGUCGUGGGACACGUGGGUGUAGCGCCGGCCCCUGUUAGCGACGUGGAUUUGGAUGCCGGGACGGCACUGUUUCUUGGAGUAGGAGUUGCUCUGGCUGUCCUGCCUCGCAGUCAGGGAGCUGCUGACUGUGAGGUGAAGAGAGAGGGAGAACAGUCUGAAUGAAAGCUCACUGUUAAAGUCUUACUUUGGUGUGCUGUCGUCUCUGCUGGUGGCUGUGGGUGUCCUGGGCUCCCUGCAGGACUCUCCCUCCCUCUGUUUGGCCCUGUAACAGCUGCUGGAUCUGGUCCACCACCCCCAGGUCCUGUAGUAGUUUCUUCCUCUGGAGAAGCAGAUGAACUCGCUCCUGCUCCUGCUCCUCCUCCUCCUCCUCCUCCUCCUCAUCCUCCCCCUCCUCCUCCUCUUCUUGUACUUGUGCAGCUUCAGGAUCGACCCACAUACUGGACAGACGGAGCUGCUGAAAAGAAAAAAAACAAACAGAAUGGCACUUGAUUCAAUUUGUGUUUAUGGCUUUACUGUAUAUCCUUCUGCGAGUAUGCAUUUCCCACAUAUUAGCAAUUACUGUCACCGAAUAACACUGUUUGUUUUUUCAGCCUCGACAAUAAAGCAUCAUCUGAAGGGAAUAUUAUUCUGGCUAAUGUAAAAUGGGUAAAUAUAUACGUAGACUACGACUCUAAAGGGGUCAGACAGACUAUGAACCAUUCAUCACAGGGCAGAAGCUGUUUGACUCCCUCUUGUGGCUUCGUGUGGACACUACAUCUCUAAUGACAGCGCCUCACCAGCUGAGGGUCACAGCCAGAGUCUGGAAUGGGGGUUUGUUUUGGUGCUCGUCGGGGUUUGGCUCGCUCCCCCGCCGUCUCCCCCUGCAAGUCUCUCCUGCGACUCGCCUUCAGGUCUUUCUCCUUCUGCUCCUGCUUCAGGAGCAACUCCUGCAGCUGAAGCCUAAACACAGAAAUGCACAAAAUGUAUUUAGAUAAUUCACAACUCAUUUUUUUUUGUUAAAUCACACUCCCUUAUAAAAUUAAAUAUUUAAAAAGUUA